CCGUGGAGGAUUUGCUUGCUUUUGCAAACCAUAUAUCCAACACUGCAAAGCAUUUUUAUGGACAACGACCACAGGAAUCUGGAAUUUUAUUAAACAUGGUCAUCACUCCCCAAAAUGGACGUUACCAAAUAGAUUCCGAUGUUCUCCUGAUCCCUUGGAAGCUGACUUACAGGAAUAUUGGUUCUGAUUUUAUUCCUCGGGGAGCCUUUGGAAAGGUAUACUUGGCACAAGAUAUAAAGACGAAGAAAAGAAUGGCGUGUAAACUGAUCCCAGUAGAUCAAUUUAAGCCAUCUGAUGUGGAAAUCCAGGCUUGCUUCCGGCACGAGAACAUCGCAGAGCUGUAUGGCGCAGUCCUGUGGGGUGAAACCGUCCAUCUCUUUAUGGAAGCAGGCGAGGGAGGGUCUGUUCUGGAGAAACUGGAGAGCUGUGGACCAAUGAGAGAAUUUGAAAUUAUUUGGGUGACAAAGCAUGUUCUCAAGGGACUCGAUUUUCUGCACUCAAAGAAAGUGAUCCAUCAUGAUAUUAAACGUAAGUAUCUUUGGACAUAUACCUUUUUGGCUCAAAAAGACUAGUUAUUCAGGAGACAAACAAGCUCCUUCCUGUAAUCCGAAGACCCUCCAUGGAGGGUGGAAAGCUGCCUCAGAGCA
This 647-nucleotide small RNA is filed under the name Pongo abelii (Sumatran orangutan). RNAcentral describes it as "retained intron". The record is from RNAcentral. Lineage: Eukaryota; Metazoa; Chordata; Mammalia; Primates; Hominidae.